This 301-nucleotide ribosomal RNA is filed under the name uncultured bacterium. Its description in RNAcentral is "partial 16S ribosomal RNA". It matches the Rfam family "Bacterial small subunit ribosomal RNA", at positions 509 to 807 of the family's 1533-position model. The record is from RNAcentral.
CAGUCGCCGCGGUAAUACGUAGGUGGCAAGCGUUGUCCGGAAUUAUUGGGCGUAAAGGGCUCGCAGGCGGUUUCUUAAGUCUGAUGUGAAAGCCCCCGGCUCAACUGGGGAGGGUCAUUGGAAACUGGGAAACUUGAGUGCAGAAGAGGAGAGUGGAAUUCCACGUGUAGCGGUGAAAUGCGUAGAGAUGUGGAGGAACACCAGUGGCGAAGGCGACUCUCUGGUCUGUAACUGACGCUGAGGAGCGAAAGCGUGGGGAGCGAACAGGAUUAGAUACCCCAGUAGUCCCUGUCUCUUAUAC